RNAcentral lists this unclassified non-coding RNA (243 nucleotides) under uncultured fungus. RNAcentral's name for it is "sequence contains ITS1". The stretch from base 1 to 97 matches the Rfam family "5.8S ribosomal RNA", at positions 49 to 154 of the family's 154-position model. The record is from RNAcentral. Lineage: Eukaryota; Fungi.
AAGAAUGCGAUAUGCAAUGUGAAUUGCAGAACCACGAAUCAUCGGAUAUUUGAACGCAACUGGCACUAGCCAAACUAGUAUACUUGUUUCAGUGUGCGCAAACACAUAAACAAAAUCCAAAUGUGGGAGAAUUUCUCCUAUUAAAUAUAUGCUCUUUGCAGCAGUCACAGCAAUGUGAGCCGCAUUGAAUAAUAACCACUUUAUAUGCACCUGAAAUCAAGUAAGAUGACCCGCUGGACUUAA